AAAUGCGUCAUACUGUGGUAAGAGAAGAUUAAACAUCAUUCUCAACUGUAAAUGUUUUUAUGUAAUACUACUAAUAAUCACAAAAAUGAAAUGAGUUGAUAGUAUGAUUCAUUUGUUACACAGGGGAUUAAAGAAGAUUAACAUCUAUUUCAACUGUAAAUGUUUUUAUGUAAUACUAAUAAUCACAAAAAUGAAAUGAAUUUAUAAUAUGUUUCAUUUGUUACACAUUGGGAAAGAAGAUUAACCACCAUUCUCAAUUGUGAAUGUUUUUUUAUGUAACACUACUAAUAAUCACAAAAAUGAAAUGAGUUAUACUAUAUAUGUUUCAUUUGUUACACAGGGGAAAAAGAAGAUUAGCAUCUAUCUCAAAUGUAAAUGUUUUUAUGUAAUACUAAUUAAUAAUCACAAAAAUGAAAUAAGUUUAUAGUAUGGGAAAGAAAGAAGAUUAACCAUCAUUCUCAACUGUAAAUGUUUUUAUGUAAUAAUCACAAAAAUGAAAUGAGUUAUAUAGUAUGUUUCAUUUGUUAUAUACAUUUGAGUAUUUGACCAUAUAUUAUGUUUUUGUUAGGUCACACAAUUGUUACUUACUUACUUAAACUUACAUAUUAAUGUAGUGAUACAGAACAAUGAGAUUGAGAAAGGUACCUUUCUCAGCAGAGGAAGAACAAAAGCAUGAAAAUCCGAGAAUAGCAAAGAAGACGAGUCUCCAACACCCGGAAAAAUCCAUGAGCUGAAUUGAAGUAGGAAGUUAUAUGAAAUUAUACAAUUUUGUGAAGAAGCAACAAAAUAUAAUGAGAGGCAACUACUCCUCUUUAAAUAACUUUCUGAAUGAAAAGAAAUGUUAUAAUUUCACUGCUAGAAAUUUUAGUGGGCAUGCAUUUUCCUUUGAGAGAGGGCCACAAAGGGGAAUAACGAUAAAUAGCUAGCGUACGUACACCAGAUUUGAUCUCAGGUCUUGGAUAUCACCCUCUCAAAUUAAAGCAGCUUUUACCUUCUUCUAGACUGCUAUGGGGUGUAUAUCAAGGUAUAUAAAGGGACGUAUUCAAUGCAUUUUGACAAAAAUGGCGAGGGUAAAGAAAUUAAAUAGGGGUGACUAGGUGAGAAUGAGCUCUUGAAUCCACUCUCUGAGAUCGAUCAAUACCGGUAUCCUUUCUAGUAAUGUUAAUAUAGGAUACGUACACAAUAUUUUCUUAUUGUGUAACCGUGCCCUUUUGAUUAAGGAAAGUGGUUAUUACAACUUUGAUUAAUAGAAAUGAUUAUCCCAACUUUCUUGGGAAGUAAUUCCUUAAGAGAAAUGGUUUUUGUCAAUUUUCCUUGGUGUAGUAGAAGGCAUACAUGAUACAUGCCAUAUUGAGGUUAAUGGUUAUUUUAGGGAUUGAACUUUG
Molecule: long non-coding RNA, 1385 nt
Organism: Spinacia oleracea (spinach)
Lineage: Eukaryota; Viridiplantae; Streptophyta; Magnoliopsida; Caryophyllales; Amaranthaceae
Exons: 2
Source: RefSeq, a predicted model, not a curated record